Molecule: long non-coding RNA, 2118 nt
Organism: Triticum dicoccoides
Lineage: Eukaryota; Viridiplantae; Streptophyta; Magnoliopsida; Poales; Poaceae
Exons: 4
Source: RefSeq, a predicted model, not a curated record
GCUUCAAGAUUGUGGAGGCGCACUACUCGAUGACGGGCGUGGCGGUCCUCCGCAUCAUGUUUUUGCUGCAAGGUUGCAGGGAGUCCAUGCUCGUCGUUGUUCGCCAGGUGACGCCGCAGCCGCAGGUCGAGCUUGACCACCACGGUGGCGAACUGCAAAAGGCAUUUGGAUCCUUCCACUGCAGUUAUUGGGUUCUUUGUACGCUUUGAAGAUGAUAGUGUCGAUUCAGCAAAAGUGGUCAAACAGUGGAAUGUCAAAAUCAUAUCUAUAAGCAAGAAUAAAAGGCAUCAAGACAGACCGGCUGCUCUGGAGGUGUGGGAUCGGCUGGAUGAAUUUGUGCGGGCCGUACGUGUCUCUCUGGCUUAAUGACGCGGUGCUGCUGCUGCUACAAGGCGCUACCAAAAUUUUAAAUUAAGAAUUUGUUGGUGGUGAUUCAUUUUAAUUUUAUUGGCACGUUGCAUCUUUCUACAAGCUAAUGUUUGGUAUGACAAAACUACAGGGAACGGCACAUCCUCAUAUUACAAAGAUAGAAUCUAUAAGUUGUUUAUACAGAAUUAUAGAUAUAAUAGUAGAAGUCGUCAGUGACAACUUCCUGCUGCACCUGCUUCUUACCACGGGCACAUGCAUGCAAAGGUUCUGUCAAAAGCCAUCUACGCAUGUGUUUUUCCACUCCAUAUCACCGAAAAGCAACGGUAUCUUUCUGGUGCCACCACCAACAGGUAUUGUUAGUUCUGUUGCCUCCAAUCUUAGUAGUAGUCGUCUCUCUGCAUCUCAGUCAAAUUGUACACUUUCAACUUUCUCAAGCAUUCGGCCAAAGUGGAGAUCAAUAUAUCAACUAGCAUAAUUGCUUGCUUUCAUACAGCAAGGUAUGAACAUAGCUAUGCAUUUUGCUGGUCUCCUUGGAAAUUUCUUAUUUAUCUUUCCUAAGGUGUUGAUUAGAUUUUUUUUUUGUCUGAAAAAUCAUAAAGGAAAGAAACAAAUAAAUCUCUACAAGUUGUUGUCGCUCAUACUUGUGAACUAUUUUUAGCAGUAGUAUAAAAAUAUCAUUUGUUAUCACUAAUGGGAUAAGUAGAAUUUGGUUAUCUAAUAGGAGUUAUAUUUAUUUUUAUUUAUCUUUCCUAAGGUGUUGAUUUGAUUAAAAAUCUGAUUCAUCAUAAAGGAAAGACUCUGGGUUGUUAUCGCUCAUUUUGUGAACUAUUUUAGCGGUAGUCUAAAAAUACCAUCUGUGGUCACUAAUGAGAUCAAGGGAAUUUGGUUAUCUAAUAGUUGUAUUUAUUUUAUUCCAAACUCGCACGCUAGAAUUAGUAGCUUCAUUUGUUUCCGUUUGUGCACCUGCCAGCAAUAAUAUUUUUUAAGCAAUAUUAAAGAGCUGGUCCAUUGCUGAAAACUAAUUUCAUUUUCUCACCGUGUAUGCAAUUUUGCACUAUUUAUUUAAUGAAAACUUCAAUCCUGUCUUGCAUCAAUCUUCAUCUUGCAAAAUUAAAUCACCUCUCCAAUAUCUGCCUCUAACAAAUACUCAUGUUUAUCAAAUCAUCUUUAGUAUUCAUGUAUAUGAGAACCAUCUUCAGUGCUAUAUGGCAAUAUGACUAAUCUUCAAAGUACAUAUACUGCAAAUCCCGUCUUUUUUAGUGCGUGUACUUAACUGCAAUGCCAAUUUGUUGUGAACAUCCCAAAAUAGACAGUGUUACAUUAGUAAAGAAAAACAACUUUCUUAUGGUUACUGAAACCAAUCCGUUUAAUAUUUAGAAGCUCACGCAACAUGUCCCGCAGCAAUGCGCGGGGUAUCCAUCUAGUAUAUACAUGGAUGUGCGUACAUGGCCAGGACUUAUGUACGUGUCCGACCUGCCCUCUUUUACUUUUUCUUAGCAUGAGGUCUGGACAACUGCUUAUGUGUGUACGUGAUCAUGACUCUUUUUGACGGGCUAUUUCUAAUUCUUUCUAUUUUUUUAAGGGAAUAUUUCUAAUUCUUUAUAUGCCCCAUUUUGUAGAUUUGCUUCAGAUCACGGAAGCUUGGGUUGAUGGAGUGCUUGUCUUUAGUUUUUGUUUUGACUUUGUGAAACUUGCUACCUAUGAUGAAACUGUGUAAUAUUGAUGAAACUAUGUAUAUGUAUGGAUGAA